UGUAGACAUACAUGCAGACAGAACA
This 25-nucleotide non-coding RNA is filed under the name Cricetulus griseus (Chinese hamster). The record is from RNAcentral. Lineage: Eukaryota; Metazoa; Chordata; Mammalia; Rodentia; Cricetidae.